UAGAUACAGUAUACAACAGGGAUUGGAAACGGCCCGGUAUCACGUGAUCUUUCCCUUAACAUUUCAAUGAGACAACAAAAAUUGUCAAAAAAACCUAGGCGUGUUACGGGUUAAAAAUAGAUAUCCAGGGAUAUUCUUCAGAAAAGUCUCGAGAAAGUCAUCUGUCUAAUGACUUUUUAAGAUUUGAGUGGUCCCCAUUCUAGGAAAACUUUGGCUGCAUAAAGCUCUCUUUCAAAGCUUCUACAUUGAUGACACAACAGCUGUUAUGAUGAGAUGUCUAGAUUGGUGUGACUAUUAUCCAAUGUACUGAGUGUUUUUAAUCUUAAUUUUCUCUUAAGCCGUGUUUUAUUGAGGACAUCAAGAAUAGUCGGACCUACGGCGGAAUUUCUCCCUCUGGCAACUUCACUAUGACUAAUAACGAAAAUCUGUGGCAUUAGUAUUGUUCCCUAGGAAUCUCUCCAAUGUAAUGAGCUACAAUGAAGUGACUAUUUUUGUCCUGUGGAUAUUUGGAAGGCUGUUUCUGCAAGUGAAGAAUACUGCCGUUUAUUGAUUACUUUUGAUAAACUUGCUAUGCAUGCAACUUUUAUUUGAUUCCAACUAUUAGUUUUUACAUUAUAGAAUA
This 622-nucleotide long non-coding RNA is filed under the name Amphimedon queenslandica. RNAcentral describes it as "uncharacterized LOC109582509". The record is from RNAcentral. Lineage: Eukaryota; Metazoa; Porifera; Demospongiae; Haplosclerida; Niphatidae.